AGGGGACAACAGUUGGAAACGACUGCUAAUACCGCAUAAGCCCACGGGUCGGCAUCGACCAGAGGGAAAAGGAGCAAUCCGCUUUGAGAUGGCCUCGCGUCCGAUUAGCUAGUUGGUGAGGUAAUGGCCCACCAAGGCGACGAUCGGUAGCCGGACUGAGAGGUUGAACGGCCACAUUGGGACUGAGACACGGCCCAGACUCCUACGGGAGGCAGCAGUGGGGAAUAUUGCACAAUGGGGGAAACCCUGAUGCAGCGACGCCGCGUGGAGGAAGAAGGUCUUCGGAUUGUAAACUCCUGUUGUUGAGGAAGAUAAUGACGGUACUCAACAAGGAAGUGACGGCUAACUACGUGCCAGCAGCCGCGGUAAAACGUAGGUCACAAGCGUUGUCCGGAAUUACUGGGUGUAAAGGGAGCGCAGGCGGGAAGACAAGUUGGAAGUGAAAUCUAUGGGCUCAACCCAUAAACUGCUUUCAAAACUGUUUUUCUUGAGUAGUGCAGAGGUAGGCGGAAUUCCCGGUGUAGCGGUGGAAUGCGUAGAUAUCGGGAGGAACACCAGUGGCGAAGGCGGCCUACUGGGCACCAACUGACGCUGAGGCUCGAAAGUGUGGGUAGCAAACAGGAUUAGAUACCCUGGUAGUCCACACCGUAA
RNAcentral lists this ribosomal RNA (651 nucleotides) under uncultured Bacillota bacterium. RNAcentral describes it as "bacterial SSU rRNA". It matches the Rfam family "Bacterial small subunit ribosomal RNA", at positions 138 to 805 of the family's 1533-position model. The record is from RNAcentral. Lineage: Bacteria; Bacillati; Bacillota.